CUGCAUCGUGGGAGAUCCAGGUGGUUUUAACUUGGCGUUCCUGCUCCCCUGCCUCUCCUCCGAGCCACAUUAUACAAGAGUGACCUUUUAAAUCUACGCCCACUCUUUACCAGCUAAAGGACUGCAGCAGGCGAGUUCCGGAAGGCUGAUUCCCCAGAUCCCGGGCCCGGACAGCCGCCGUUCGCCCCUUGCGGCACGCCCGGCCAGGCUGCGCCUGGACUCAGCUGUUUAGGUGAAGGCGGCGGCCGCGCGCCCUGCCCUGACAGCCGCCGCCAAGCCCCUGCUGCCCUCCUCGUUCCUUACCCUCUUCUUCCCCCUCCUUGCCCCCCUCCGUUUCCUGGGCUGAGCUGGGGGCGAAAUGGACACAGGAACAACUCCUUCUCUUCCUUCGGAUUCCAAAUUGGAAGCCAGGGCUGUCAUUUGCUCCGUGCACGGCCUGCAAGAUGAGUCCUGGCUCAGCAUCUCCAAGGCCUCCUCCAGGGCUUGGAAGACUUCUUGGAAACACUAUUUACUUUGCUGGAAUCAUGGGAAACAUGUUCAGUUUGCUCUCUGAGAUGACUGUGCUUUGCCUUUGAUGGGAUCUCUGGAAGGAGGUACAUGGAAUGCCUUGAAACCAAAGCACUGUCCCCAAGAGUGAAACCUGUGAGCCUCCACCUUCCACAGCUUCACCUACCUGUGAACUCUGACAUCACUUUUGCAGAUUCUGAUGCAAUCUUGACAUAUGGAGGGGCACCAGGAGGCCCUUACCCACCAGUGGAUGAAGACAUGCUAUCCUAAAUUUAUAUCAGGUUGUGCCCUGGUCACCUGCAUGUACACUGAUUAUCAUGUAUAUCCCUAUUACCUGGUUGUAUUUGCUCAUACCUUCAAACUCUUCUUCUUUGUUUGGGUCUCUGAAAUUUUCCUCCAUCUUGCAUGCCUCCAGCUCCUGGGAACUAGGAUUAACCUCCAGAAGACUCCUAUUCCAAAUCUGAUGAACCGCUUGAAAUAACAGUACUUUCACAUACCUGAUUCUAAGUUCUAACAUAUUAUUCAGAACUCUUGUGAUUGCAAAUGACAGAAACCUUAUCUGAACCAGCUUAAAUGCUAAGAGGAAUGUGUUGUCUCAUGCAACUCUGUAUUAGAAUCUAGCUAUGCAUCAGAGACUCAGACAUCUUUGUUUGAUUCUCUUGUCUCUGCUCCCCUCUGCACACAUUUAAUUUUUCUCUCUUUCUGCAAACUGGCUUCUGCUUCUUAUGUCCAACAGCAAGAAACAUAGCCGUUGAUAUUUCCCAGGAUUUAUAUUUUAUAGCCCAGCUUAGGUCAGAUGCUCAACCCUGGGAAAAUCACUUUGAUCAAAGGAAUGAAUACCCCAAAUGAUCAAGUUUGAGUUUGAUGUUGUGAUGGUUAAGUUCAUGUGUCAACAUGGCCAUGUUAUGGUGUCCAAUUGUUUGAUCAAGCAAACACUGGCCUGUUUGUUACUGUGAGGCUAUUUCAUAGA
This is a long non-coding RNA of Choloepus didactylus (southern two-toed sloth), 1477 nucleotides long. RefSeq lists it as uncharacterized. Lineage: Eukaryota; Metazoa; Chordata; Mammalia; Pilosa; Megalonychidae. The record is from RefSeq and is a predicted model, not a curated record. The transcript has 5 exons.